Malus domestica (apple) is the source of this 554-nucleotide non-coding RNA. The record is from RefSeq and is a predicted model, not a curated record. NCBI's taxonomy places the organism in Eukaryota, Viridiplantae, Streptophyta, Magnoliopsida, Rosales, Rosaceae.
GACCGACUUUGACUAACGUACUCGGCAAGGCGGGACUGCCGAAUUUUCCACCACUUUCUUUGCUUUUCUCGGGAACCAAACAAAUCCUCGGAAAAACCAUCACCUCUAAAACCCUAAACCCUGAUUAAGGUAAAACCGCAAUGGAGGACGCUCGUGGCAAGGCGGUGUGCGGCCAGGAGGCUCUGGAUCUGCUCAACUGCGUCGCUCAGUCUCCUUUCGAUCAAGACAGAUGCGUUCGCCUCUUGCAUUCCCUGCGAGAAUGCGUGCUCAAUAAGAAAGUGAAGAAGUUUUCACUAGCUGACCAGGAACAGAAGGAUGCAAAGCCACAUUGAUCGGACAGCCUGAUUGCAUUUGGUGCUGAUAGGAUUCUUCGGCAGAGAUCUUUCUCGUACAGAUGACUUCUUUCCUUCCCCUCUUCAUUUUGAAUUUUUGACAGUGAAAAACUGACAAUUAUUGAGGUUUUAUUACUACGUAACUCCAUGCUUUGUAUCUGAUAUCGGAAAUGAUGUUUGCAAAAUGUUAUUCUGAUCUGGAUUUGUUUCGCAUUUUACAAA